AACGCUAGCUACAGGCUUAACACAUGCAAGUCGAGGGGCAGCAUUAUCGAAGCUUGCUUUGAUAGAUGGCGACCGGCGCACGGGUGAGUAACGCGUAUCCAACCUUCCCCAUAGUCAGGAAUAGCCCGGCGAAAGUCGAAUUAAUGCCUGAUGUUUUCCACGGACGGCAUCUGAUGUGGAACAAAGAUUCAUCGCUAUGGGAUGGGGAUGCGUCUGAUUAGCUUGUUGGCGGGGUAACGGCCCACCAAGGCAACGAUCAGUAGGGGUUCUGAGAGGAAGGUCCCCCACAUUGGAACUGAGACACGGUCCAAACUCCUACGGGAGGCAGCAGUGAGGAAUAUUGGUCAAUGGGCGGAAGCCUGAACCAGCCAAGUAGCGUGAGGGAUGACUGCCCUAUGGGUUGUAAACCUCUUUUAUAAGGGAAUAAAAUACGGGACGUGUCCUGUUUUGCAUGUACCUUAUGAAUAAGGACCGGCUAAUUCCGUGCCAGCAGCCGCGGUAAUACGGAAGGUCCAGGCGUUAUCCGGAUUUAUUGGGUUUAAAGGGAGCGCAGGCGGUCUUAUAAGCGUGACGUGAAAUGCAGCGGCUCAACCGUAUGAUGUGCGUCGCGAACUGUGAGACUUGAGUGUAUUCGAUGUCAGCGGAAUUUGUGGUGUAGCGGUGAAAUGCUUAGAUAUCACGAAGAACUCCGAUUG
RNAcentral lists this ribosomal RNA (695 nucleotides) under uncultured bacterium. Its description in RNAcentral is "bacterial SSU rRNA". It matches the Rfam family "Bacterial small subunit ribosomal RNA", at positions 32 to 715 of the family's 1533-position model. The record is from RNAcentral.